This 443-nucleotide ribosomal RNA is filed under the name uncultured bacterium. Its description in RNAcentral is "bacterial SSU rRNA". It matches the Rfam family "Bacterial small subunit ribosomal RNA", at positions 958 to 1398 of the family's 1533-position model. The record is from RNAcentral.
AACGCGAAGAACCUUACCAGCUCUAGACUGUCUGGUUUUGGGUACCAGAGAUGGAACCCUUCAGUUCGGCUGGGCCAGAUUCAGGUGCUGCAUGGCUGUCGUCAGCUCGUGUCGUGAGAUGUUGGGUUAAGUCCCGCAACGAGCGCAACCCUCGCCCUUAGUUGCCAUCAUUUAGUUGGGCACUCUAAGGGGACUGCCGGUGAUAAGCCGCGAGGAAGGUGGGGAUGACGUCAAGUCCUCAUGGCCCUUACGGGCUGGGCUACACACGUGCUACAAUGGCGGUGACAGUGGGAUGCAAUGGAGUAAUCCUGCGCAAAUCUCAAAAAGCCGUCUCAGUUCGGAUUGUGCUCUGCAACUCGAGCACAUGAAGUUGGAAUCGCUAGUAAUCGCAGAUCAGCACGCUGCGGUGAAUACGUUCCCGGGCCUUGUACACACCGGUACUA